Molecule: non-coding RNA, 433 nt
Organism: Acanthisitta chloris (rifleman)
Lineage: Eukaryota; Metazoa; Chordata; Aves; Passeriformes; Acanthisittidae
Source: the annotation of a RefSeq genome assembly
AUGCUGCUGCUGGCAACACUAGUGGCCUCAGCAGCUUGCCCUUAUGGAUUUGCACAGGAAAUUCCCAUGCAGAGUCCAAUAUCCAUCACCAAAUUCCAAAAAAGAUGUCCAGAUUACAUGUCAAAUUCAAACAUUGGGGGCAAAUUUUGGUGGCAACGUCAUACACUGGUACCUGCAGAAGGAGGGUGAAGCUCCUGAGAGGCUCCUGUACUAUUUCGGAGGAAAAGCUACUGUAGAAAUUGGUUUUCAAUCAAGCAGAUAUAUGGUUGAAACAAUUCCUGGCCAGAACCAGUGUGUUCUUACUAUAAAAGAUGUAAUUCCAGAUGAUGCUGCUACUUAUUACUGCCACUGUGUUAGAAACUCAGAGAUCAUCAAGCCAAAAAAACCACACUCAGCAUCUGAACCACAAUCUUGUAACUGUGCCAUUCCAUGA